Pelobates cultripes (western spadefoot toad) is the source of this 239-nucleotide non-coding RNA. The record is from the annotation of a GenBank genome assembly. Lineage: Eukaryota; Metazoa; Chordata; Amphibia; Anura; Pelobatidae.
GAGAAAUGGAUUUCCAGACAAAGGUACGAUAAAGGGUUACAUUGGGUGUUUAAAAUGAAUUCCGAGGUACCACUGGAAUCCAUUCUUUAAUCAGUGAAUGUGUUUAUGAUUGCUUAGGAAACAUUUUGUGUUAUGACUUGCCUAUUAAUUACAAGCCAGAUCCCCGGGAUGGUAAUUAUAGUUACAGCAUAUCAACUGCCUUCAUAGUUUUGUCAGCAUCCAGCGUAAAUUCCUUAGAA